This 468-nucleotide ribosomal RNA is filed under the name uncultured bacterium. Its description in RNAcentral is "partial 16S ribosomal RNA". It matches the Rfam family "Bacterial small subunit ribosomal RNA", at positions 28 to 507 of the family's 1533-position model. The record is from RNAcentral.
GACGAACGCUGGCGGCGUGCUUAACACAUGCAAGUCGAACGGAAAGGCCCUGCUUUUGUGGGGUGCUCGAGUGGCGAACGGGUGAGUAACACGUGAGUAACCUGCCCUUGACUUUGGGAUAACUUCAGGAAACUGGGGCUAAUACCGGAUAGGAGCUCCUGCUGCAUGGUGGGGGUUGGAAAGUUUCGGCGGUUGGGGAUGGACUCGCGGCUUAUCAGCUUGUUGGUGGGGUAGUGGCUUACCAAGGCUUUGACGGGUAGCCGGCCUGAGAGGGUGAUCGGCCACAUUGGGACUGAGAUACGGCCCAGACUCCUACGGGAGGCAGCAGUGGGGAAUAUUGCACAAUGGGCGGAAGCCUGAUGCAGCAACGCCGCGUGCGGGAUGACGGCCUUCGGGUUGUAAACCGCUUUCGCCUGUGACGAAGCGUGAGUGGCGGUAAUGGGUAAAGAAGCACCGGCUAACUACGUG